GACGAACGCUGGCGGCGUGCUUAACACAUGCAAGUCGAACGGAAAGGCCCUGCUUGCAGGGUGCUCGAGUGGCGAACGGGUGAGUAACACGUGGGUGAUCUGCCCCUUACUUUGGGAUAAGCCUGGGAAACUGGGUCUAAUACUGGAUAGGACCAUGCUGUAGGUGGUGUGGUGGAAAGAUUAGUUUCGGUAAGGGAUGAGCUCGCGGCCUAUCAGCUUGUUGGUGGGGUAAUGGCCUACCAAGGCGUCGACGGGUAGCCGGCCUGAGAGGGUGGACGGCCACAUUGGGACUGAGAUACGGCCCAGACUCCUACGGGAGGCAGCAGUGGGGAAUAUUGCACAAUGGGCGCAAGCCUGAUGCAGCGACGCCGCGUGGGGGAUGACGGCCUUCGGGUUGUAAACUCCUUUCAGCCAUGGCGAAGCCCUUGUGGUGACGGUAGUGGUAGAAGAAGCACCGGCUAACUACGUGCCAGCAGCCGCGGUAAUACGUAGGGUGCGAGCGUUGUCCGGAAUUACUGGGCGUAAAGAGCUCGUAGGUGGUCUGUCGCGUCAUUUGUGAAAGCCCGGGGCUUAACUCCGGGUUGGCAGGUGAUACGGGCAUGACUGGAGUACUGUAGGGGAGACUGGAAUUCCUGGUGUAGCGGUGAAAUGCGCAGAUAUCAGGAGGAACACCGGUGGCGAAGGCGGGUCUCUGGGCAGUAACUGACGCUGAGGAGCGAAAGCAUGGGUAGCGAACAGGAUUAGAUACCCUGGUAGUCCAUGCCGUAGACGGUGGGCGCUAGGUGUGGGUUUCCUUCCACGGGAUCCGUGCCGUAGCUAACGCAUUAAGCGCCCCGCCUGGGGAGUACGGCCGCAAGGCUAAAACUCAAAGGAAUUGACGGGGGCCCGCACAAGCGGCGGAGCAUGUGGAUUAAUUCGAUGCAACGCGAAGAACCUUACCUGGGCUUGACAUGCACUGGAUGCGGCCAGGGAUGGUUGUUCCCUUUGUGGCUGGUGUGCAGGUGGUGCAUGGUUGUCGUCAGCUCGUGUCGUGAGAUGUUGGGUUAAGUCCCGCAACGAGCGCAACCCUUGUCUCGUGUUGCCAGCAUUUGGUUGGGGACUCGCGGGAGACUGCCGGGGUUAACUCGGAGGAAGGUGGGGAUGACGUCAAAUCAUCAUGCCCCUUAUGUCCAGGGCUUCACACAUGCUACAAUGGCUGGUACAGAGAGUUGCGAUACCGUGAGGUGGGGCUAAUCUCGUAAAGCCAGUCUCAGUUCGGAUUGGAGUCUGCAACUCGACUCCAUGAAGUCGGAGUCGCUAGUAAUCGCAGAUCAGCAAUGCUGCGGUGAAUACGUUCCCGGGCCU
This 1344-nucleotide ribosomal RNA is filed under the name uncultured bacterium. Its description in RNAcentral is "bacterial SSU rRNA". It matches the Rfam family "Bacterial small subunit ribosomal RNA", at positions 28 to 1381 of the family's 1533-position model. The record is from RNAcentral.